Molecule: transfer RNA, 75 nt
Filed under: Candidatus Saccharimonadota bacterium
Lineage: Bacteria; Candidatus Saccharimonadota
Also listed under: 1 other name
Description: tRNA-Glu
Rfam family: tRNA
About the family: Transfer RNA (tRNA) molecules are approximately 80 nucleotides in length.
Source: RNAcentral
GGUCCCAUCGUCUAGCGGUUAGGACACCAGGUUCUCAUCCUGGCAACCCGGGUUCGAUUCCCGGUGGGAUCACCA